CGCCCCGCCGCAGCCGGGGCCGUCCUCCGCGUCCCGGUCGCGGCGCUGCCUUCCUGCCCGAGCCUCGCCGGCAGGCAGCCAGACACCCUUGUCGCUUGCAGGGCAGCGCCGUGUUUUUGGCGUCAGCCGCGGCUUGUUUGACGGGUUUGGAUGGGAGACGUGAUGGGAGCAGCAGUACCCGGCAGCCAGAACCAAAAUUAACGUGUUCCAUCCAUUGUAGCCGCAGAUGCAAAGCAGCGCGACGGGGUUGCUUGUACUUUGAGCUGUACAGCAACUGUGAAGGGUGUAAUAACCCACAGCAUCACUCCAGUUAGAAGUGGCCAUUCCUCAGGUUGGAAAUAAAUGAGCCAGAAGAAGAGAGAUCUUUGUGAUUCAUCCACUUACACAAGAGUAGGAAGAGCUGCAUUCUCACUGUUGCUGUAGUUGUGUCUUAAUUAUGCAGUCAUGAAGUUGGGGAGAAAAGAAAAUGCUAAGUCAAACAAAAAAAGUAUUUUCCACCUUUGACCUACAACUUGUACCUGGCUGCUUUCUUGGUAAGGUAUGUAUUCCAUAUACCUUAAGUUACUGUGGUAGGAUACUGUUACACAGAUAUGAAUGGAGGGGCUUAAAUUCUGCUUCAUCAAAUAUUAAACAUUUUCUUUAGCUCACAGUAGUUAGGGAAGGCAUGGGUAUCUCUGUGUUGGGCUUCACCUUAUCUAACUACCAAAUAGUCACAGUUAUGCAUGGAAAAGAAGUAAAUCAAUAUAUAGUAGAAUUUAUUACACCAAUGUUCAAGAUUGCCAUAGAUAAAUCACUUAGUAGAUUGUAUUUUUAAGUAGAUAAUUUCCAUGGGUAAGUAAUGUCUGUACAUGCUGUUUCUUUAUAUACUACUAUGUAGACAUUUCUCCAGAAAAGAUAGCAUUCUAGCAACAAGAAUAAUGUGUCUAUCUAGAGAGGGUGUAAGUUCUGCUAGGCUCCUGAGAAAUCUCUGUGCAUUAAAAACAAAGUUUAAAUUGGUUUCAUUUCAGACUCUUCUGUAAGGAGAUGCAAAUGAAGUCUCAUGUAUACCAGUUUUGUUAACAGUGUUGUUGAGAAAGGCAGGAAAUGGUGAGGAGGGAAAGGAAAGCAAUCUGAAAAAGCACAGAAAAGAAAAAAAUACCAGUAAUUAGAGAAAACUAAAUCGAGGUACUACAUUGUAAACAUAAAAUUUAGGCACUUUAUCAUCUUGUUCAUAACAGCACUUACAUUUAAAAGCUGGGGGG
Molecule: long non-coding RNA, 1241 nt
Organism: Athene cunicularia (burrowing owl)
Lineage: Eukaryota; Metazoa; Chordata; Aves; Strigiformes; Strigidae
Exons: 2
Source: RefSeq, a predicted model, not a curated record